RNAcentral lists this ribosomal RNA (492 nucleotides) under uncultured bacterium. RNAcentral's name for it is "bacterial SSU rRNA". It matches the Rfam family "Bacterial small subunit ribosomal RNA", at positions 69 to 554 of the family's 1533-position model. The record is from RNAcentral.
GUAACGGAAGUAGCUUGCUACUAGACGACGACCGGCGCACGGGUGAGUAACGCGUAUGUAAUCUGCCUUGUACAGAGGGAUAGCCCAGAGAAAUUUGGAUUAAUACCUCAUAGUAUUACUGGAUCGCAUGAUUUGGUAAUUAAAGCUCCGGCGGUACAAGAUGAACAUGCGUGACAUUAGCUAGUUGGUAAGGUAACGGCUUACCAAGGCUACGAUGUCUAGGGGUUCUGAGAGGAUGAUCCCCCACACUGGUACUGAGACACGGACCAGACUCCUACGGGAGGCAGCAGUGAGGAAUAUUGGUCAAUGGACGCAAGUCUGAACCAGCCAUCCCGCGUGAAGGAUGACUGCCCUAUGGGUCGUAAACUUCUUUUAUAUGCAAAUAAACCUACUUUCGUGAAAGUAGCUGAAGGUAGCAUAUGAAUAAACACCGGCUAACUCCGUGCCAGCAGCCGCGGUAAUACGGAGGGUGUAAGCGUCAUCCGGAUUUAU